RNAcentral lists this ribosomal RNA (155 nucleotides) under uncultured bacterium. RNAcentral's name for it is "partial 16S ribosomal RNA". It matches the Rfam family "Bacterial small subunit ribosomal RNA", at positions 355 to 507 of the family's 1533-position model. The record is from RNAcentral.
UGAGGGAUAUUCGUCAAUGGGCGAGAGCCUGAACCGGCCAAGUCGCGUGAAGGAAGACGGCCCUACGGGUUGUAAACUUCUUUUGCAAUGGAAUAAAAAGAGUUACGUGUAAUUCAUUGUAUGUACAUUGCGAAUAAGGAUCGGCUAACUCCGUG